GACGAACCGUGCGAACGUUAUUCGGAAUCACUGGGCUUAAAGGGCGCGUAGGCGGGCUGACAAGUCUGGGGUGAAAUCCCACGGCUCAACCGUGGAACUGCCUUAGAUACUGUCGGCCUCGAGGAAGGUAGGGGCAUGCGGAACUGUAGGUGGAGCGGUGAAAUGCGUUGAUAUCUACAGGAACUCCGGUGGCGAAAGCGGCGUGCUGGACCUUUUCUGACGCUGAGGCGCGAAAGCUAGGGGAGCAAACGGG
This 253-nucleotide ribosomal RNA is filed under the name uncultured bacterium. Its description in RNAcentral is "partial 16S ribosomal RNA". It matches the Rfam family "Bacterial small subunit ribosomal RNA", at positions 524 to 776 of the family's 1533-position model. The record is from RNAcentral.